UACCGAGUUUACAACUCCCAAACCCAAUGUGAACGUUACCAAACUGUUGCCUCGGCGGGAUCUCUGCCCCGGGUGCGUCGCAGCCCCGGACCAAGGCGCCCGCCGGAGGACCAACCAAAACUCUUAUUGUAUACCCCCUCGCGGGUUUUUUUAUAAUCUGAGCCUUCUCGGCGCCUCUCGUAGGCGUUUCGAAAAUGAAUCAAAACUUUCAACAACGGAUCUCUUGGUUCUGGCAUCGAUGAAGAACGCAGCGAAAUGCGAUAAGUAAUGUGAAUUGCAGAAUUCAGUGAAUCAUCGAAUCUUUGAACGCACAUUGCGCCCGCCAGUAUUCUGGCGGGCAUGCCUGUCCGAGCGUCAUUUCAACCCUCGAACCCCUCCGGGGGGUCGGCGUUGGGGAUCGGCCCUCCCUUAGCGGGUGGCCGUCUCCGAAAUACAGUGGCGGUCUCGCCGCAGCCUCUCCUGCGCAGUAGUUUGCACACUCGCAUCGGGAGCGCGGCGCGUCCACAGCCGUUAAACACCCAACUUCUGAAAUGUUGACCUCGGAUCAGGUAGGAAUACCCGC
Molecule: ribosomal RNA, 562 nt
Filed under: fungal sp. MS125a
Lineage: Eukaryota; Fungi
Also listed under: 3 other names
Description: eukaryotic LSU rRNA
Rfam family: 5.8S ribosomal RNA (bases 204-357)
Source: RNAcentral